UCCGCCGUAGUGUAAUUGGCAGCACGGCACCCUUUGGAGGUGUUCGGUCUAGGUUCGAGUCCUAGCGGCGGAGCAA
Molecule: transfer RNA, 76 nt
Filed under: Streptomyces sp. ScaeMP-e48
Lineage: Bacteria; Bacillati; Actinomycetota; Actinomycetes; Kitasatosporales; Streptomycetaceae
Also listed under: 2 other names
Description: tRNA_Gln_TTG
Rfam family: tRNA
About the family: Transfer RNA (tRNA) molecules are approximately 80 nucleotides in length. Their secondary structure includes four short double-helical elements and three loops (D, anti-codon, and T loops). Further hydrogen bonds mediate the characteristic L-shaped molecular structure. tRNAs have two regions of fundamental functional importance: the anti-codon, which is responsible for specific mRNA codon recognition, and the 3' end, to which the tRNAs corresponding amino acid is attached (by aminoacyl-tRNA synthetases). tRNAs cope with the degeneracy of the genetic code in two manners: having more than one tRNA (with a specific anti-codon) for a particular amino acid; and 'wobble' base-pairing, i.e. permitting non-standard base-pairing at the 3rd anti-codon position.
Source: RNAcentral